CACAUGUGACGAGUUUGUAUCCUGGCUCAGAACGAACGCUGACGGCAUGCCUAACACAUGCAAGUCGAACGAGACUUCGGUCUAGUGGCGGACGGGUGAGUAACGCGUAGGAACCUGCCAAGCAGUGGGGAAGUAACAGCUGGAAACGGCUGCUAAUACCGCAUACGCCCUUCGGGGGAAAGAUUUAUCGCUGUUUGAGGGUCCUGCGUUCGAUUAGCUAGUUGGUGAGGUAACGGCCCACCAAGGCGACGAUCGAUAGCUGGUCUGAGAGGAGUGAUCAGCCACACUGGGACUGAGACACGGCCCAGGCUCCUACGGGAGGCAGCAGGUGGGGAAUAUUGGACAAUGGGGGAAACCCUGAUCCAGCAAUGCCGCGUGCGUGAAGAAGGCCUUAGGGUUGUAAAGCGCUUUCACCUGUGAUGAUGAUGACAGUAGCAGGAGAAGAAGCCCCGGCUAACUCCGUG
RNAcentral lists this ribosomal RNA (464 nucleotides) under uncultured bacterium. RNAcentral describes it as "bacterial SSU rRNA". It matches the Rfam family "Bacterial small subunit ribosomal RNA", at positions 1 to 507 of the family's 1533-position model. The record is from RNAcentral.